Molecule: ribosomal RNA, 243 nt
Filed under: uncultured bacterium
Lineage: Bacteria
Description: partial 16S ribosomal RNA
Rfam family: Bacterial small subunit ribosomal RNA
Source: RNAcentral
GUAGGGGGCAAGCGUUAUCCGGAAUUACUGGGUGUAAAGGGAGCGUAGACGGGAAGACAAGUUGGUUGUGAAAUCCCUCGGCUUAACUGAGGAACUGCAACCAAAACUAUCUUUCUUGAGUGCUGGAGAGGAAAGUGGAAUUCCUAGUGUAGCGGUGAAAUGCGUAGAUAGUAGGAGGAACACCAGUGGCGAAGGCGACUUUCUGGACAGUAACUGACGUUGAGGCACGAAAGUGUGGGGAGC